AGAGUUUGAUCCUGGCUCAGAACGAACGCUGGCGGCAUGCCUAACACAUGCAAGUCGAACGCCAUCCUCUGGAUGGAGUGGCGCACGGGUGAGUAACGCGUGGGAACCUGCCUUUUUCUGCGGGACAACGGUUGGAAACGACCGCUAAUACCGCAUACGCCCUACGGGGGAAAGGUCCGCCGGAGAGAGAGGGGCCCGCGUUUGAUUAGCUUGUUGGUGGGGUAACGGCUCACCAAGGCGACGAUCAAUAGCUGGUCUGAGAGGAUGAUCAGCCACACUGGGACUGAGACACGGCCCAGACUCCUACGGGAGGCAGCAGUGGGGAAUAUUGGACAAUGGGGGCAACCCUGAUCCAGCAAUGCCGCGUGUGUGAUGAAGGCCUUAGGGUUGUAAAGCACUCUCACUGGCGAAGAUGAUGACGGUAACCAGAGAAGAAGCCCCGGCUAACUUCGUGCCAGCAGCCGCGGUAAUACGAAGGGGGCGAGCGUUGUUCGGAAUUACUGGGCGUAAAGGGCGUGUAGGCGGCUCCUUAAGUUAGGCGUGAAAGCCCCGGGCUCAACCCGGGAACUGCGCUUAAUA
This 579-nucleotide ribosomal RNA is filed under the name uncultured Alphaproteobacteria bacterium. RNAcentral's name for it is "bacterial SSU rRNA". It matches the Rfam family "Bacterial small subunit ribosomal RNA", at positions 8 to 632 of the family's 1533-position model. The record is from RNAcentral. Lineage: Bacteria; Pseudomonadati; Pseudomonadota; Alphaproteobacteria.